This 800-nucleotide ribosomal RNA is filed under the name Kocuria sp. JSM 2195007. Its description in RNAcentral is "bacterial SSU rRNA". It matches the Rfam family "Bacterial small subunit ribosomal RNA", at positions 38 to 840 of the family's 1533-position model. Lineage: Bacteria; Bacillati; Actinomycetota; Actinomycetes; Micrococcales; Micrococcaceae. The record is from RNAcentral.
GGCGGGGGUGAGGUCCUCCUGCAGUCGAACGCUGAAGCUUGGGUGCUUGCAUCUGGGUGGAUGAGUGGCGAACGGGUGAGUAAUACGUGAGUAACCUGCCCUUGACUCUGGGAUAAGCCUGGGAAACUGGGUCUAAUACUGGAUACUACAUUCUCUCGCAUGGGGGUGUGUGGAAAGGGUUUUACUGGUUUUGGAUGGGCUCACGGCCUAUCAGCUUGUUGGUGGGGUAAUGGCCUACCAAGGCGACGACGGGUAGCCGGCCUGAGAGGGUGACCGGCCACACUGGGACUGAGACACGGCCCAGACUCCUACGGGAGGCAGCAGUGGGGAAUAUUGCACAAUGGGCGAAAGCCUGAUGCAGCGACGCCGCGUGAGGGAUGACGGCCUUCGGGUUGUAAACCUCUUUCAGCACGGAAGAAGCGAAAGUGACGGUACGUGCAGAAGAAGCGCCGGCUAACUACGUGCCAGCAGCCGCGGUAAUACGUAGGGCGCAAGCGUUGUCCGGAAUUAUUGGGCGUAAAGAGCUCGUAGGCGGUUUGUCGCGUCUGCUGUGAAAGCCCGGGGCUUAACCCCGUGGUGUGCAGUGGGUACGGGCAGACUAGAGUGCAGUAGGGGAGACUGGAAUUCCUGGUGUAGCGGUGAAAUGCGCAGAUAUCAGGAGGAACACCGAUGGCGAAGGCAGGUCUCUGGGCUGUUACUGACGCUGAGGAGCGAAAGCAUGGGGAGCGAACAGGAUUAGAUACCCUGGUAGUCCAUGCCGUAAACGUUGGGCACUAGGUGUGGGGGACAUUCCACGUUUU